UACGUAGGGUGCGAGCGUUAAUCGGAAUUACUGGGCGUAAAGAGCGCGCAGGCGGUCGUUCAAGUCGCGUGUGAAAGCCCCCGGCUCAACUGGGGAGGGUCACGCGAUACUGAUCGACUCGAAGGCAGGAGAGGGUAGUGGAAUUCCUGGUGUAGCGGUGAAAUGCGCAGAUAUCAGGAGGAACACCGGUGGCGAAGGCGGGUCUCUGGGCCGUAACUGACGCUGAGGAGCGAAAGCAUGGGGAGCGAACAGG
Molecule: ribosomal RNA, 253 nt
Filed under: uncultured bacterium
Lineage: Bacteria
Description: partial 16S ribosomal RNA
Rfam family: Bacterial small subunit ribosomal RNA
Source: RNAcentral